GUGGGGGGUCCCAAAAUGAGGUGAGAGGGCCCUAAAGUGAGGUAAAGGGGUCCUAAAACCAGGUGAGGGGGUCCCAAAAUGCGGAAAAAGGGUCCCAAAAUGUGGUAAUGGGGUCCCCAAAUGAGGGGAGGGGGUCCUGGGGUGGGUUUGGGGUAAAGGGGGCUCAAAGUGAGGUGAUGGGGUCCCAAAAUGAGGAAAAAGGGUCCCAAAAUGGGGUGAUGGGGUCCCAAAAAAAGGUAAUGGGGUCCUGGUGGGGAAUAAGGGGGUUGGGGGAGGUAAGGGGGCUGUUUUGGGGUAAAAAGGGCCCAAAAUGGGACAAUGGGGUCAUGAUACAUGAUAAUGGGGUUCUGAUAGGAGGUAACAGGGCCGUUUUGGGGUAAAAAGAGCCUAAUAUGGGAUAAGGGGAUCCUGAUAUGGGAUAACAAGGUCCCAAUAUGAGGUAACGGGGCUGUUUUGGGGUAAAAAGGGCGCAGUAUGGGACAACAGGGUUGUGAUAAGGGGUAAUGGGGUUCUGUUUUGAGGUAAUGAGGCCGUUUUGGGGUAAAAAGAGCCUAAUAUGGGAUAAGGGGAUCCUGAUAUGGGAUAAUGGGGCCGGUGUGAGGUAACGGGGUCCUGAUAUGAGGUAAUGGGGCUGUUUUGGGGUAAAAAGGGCCCAAUAUGGGACAAUGGGGUUGUGAUAAGUGAUAAUGGGGUUCUAUUAUGAGGUAACGGGGCCAUUUUGGGGUAAAAAGUGCCAAAUAUGGGACAAUGGGGUCGCAAUAAGCGAUAAUACGGUCCUGAUAUGAGGUCAUAGGGAUGUUUUGGGGUAAAAAGGGCCCAAUAUGGGACAACGGGGUUGCGAUAAGGGAUAAUGGGGUUCUGACAUGAGGUAACGGGGCUGUUUUGGGGUAAAAAGGGCCCAAUAUGGGAUAAGGGGAUCCUGCUACGGGAUAAUGGGGCCGGUGUGAGGUAAUGGGGUCCCGAUAUGAGGUAACAGGGCUGUUUUGGGGUAAAAAGUGCCAAAUAUGGGACAAUGGGGUCGCAAUAAGUGAUAAUAGGGUCCUGAUAUGAGGUCAUAGGGACGUUUUGGGGUAAAAAGGGCCCAAAAUGGGACAAUGGGGUCGCAAUAAGUGAUAAUGGGGUUCUGACAUGAGGUAAUGGGGCUGUUUUGGGGUAAAAAGUGCCCAAUAUGGGACACCGGGGUCCCUCUCCGAGCUAACCAUAACCCCGCUCCGAGCUAACAAGCCCCCAAAACGCCACAUUUUGGGGCCAAAACCCCCAAUUUUUGCCUUUCCCCCCCCUCCAGGAGCGCCCCCCGCCGACACCGUGGAAGUGGAGUGUGAGGAGGACGAGGAGGGCCCAGCACACACAGGUGGGUGCCGAGCUCCCCGGGGGGGGCAC
RNAcentral lists this long non-coding RNA (1380 nucleotides) under Anas platyrhynchos platyrhynchos (common mallard). RNAcentral describes it as "lncRNA (ENSAPLG00000024626.1)". Lineage: Eukaryota; Metazoa; Chordata; Aves; Anseriformes; Anatidae. The record is from RNAcentral.